GUUUUGGAUUUAUGGGGCUUUAUUCAUAAAAAAGGGAGGAUUUUCAACACUUUGGACAAUAACUCAAAAAGGCUUUCACCAAUGUCCAUGAAACUUUGGUGAAUUGUUUAUAUCUAUUGAUGUAAGCUCCCUUUCAAUUUUUAUAAAUUUCAGAUUUUAAGUUUUGGAUUAAUGGGGCUUUAUUCAUAAAAAAAAGGGGAUUUUUAACACUUCGGACAAUAACUCAAAAAGGCUUUCACCAAUGUCCAUGAAACUUUGGUGAAUUGUUUAUAUCUAUUGAUGUAAGCUUCCUUUCAAUUUUUAUAAAUUUCAGAUUUUAAGUUUUGGAUUUAUGGGACUUUAUUCAUAAAAAAAGGGGGAUUUUUAACAC
This 370-nucleotide long non-coding RNA is filed under the name Mytilus galloprovincialis (Mediterranean mussel). Lineage: Eukaryota; Metazoa; Mollusca; Bivalvia; Mytilida; Mytilidae. The record is from RNAcentral.